CCCUUCGGGGAAAUGGAGGAGCGGCGCAAGGGAGAGUAACGCGUGGAUACCUGCCCCGAGGUCCGGGAUAGCCCAUCGAAAGGUGGGGUAAUACCGGAUAACAUCUCCGGAUCAAAGGUGUGAUUCCGCCCCGGGAUGGGACCGCGUCCUAUUAGCUUGUUGGUGGGGUAAUGGCCUACCAAGGCGACGAUGGGUAGUGGGCGUUAGCGCGUGGCCCGCCUCACUGGGACUGAGACACUGCCCAGACACCUACGGGUGGCUGCAGUCGAGAAUCUUCGGCAAUGGGCGCAAGCCUGACCGAGCGACGCCGCGUGCGGGAUGAAGGCCUUCGGGUUGUAAACCGCUGUCAGAGGGGAGGAAGGGUCCGUGAAGAGCGGAACUUGACCUAUCCUCAGAGGAAGUGCGGGCUAAGUUCGUGCCAGCAGCCGCGGUAAGACGAACCGCACAAACGUUAUUCGGAAUCACUGGGCUUAAAGGGUGCGUAGGCGGCCGUUCAAGUCGGGUGUGAAAGCCCUCAGCUUAACUGAGGAAUUGCGCCCGAUACUGUUCGGCUUGAGGGAGACAGAGGUGAGCGGAACUUGCGGUGGAGCGGUGAAAUGCGUUGAUAUCGCAAGGAACACCAGUAGCGAAAGCGGCUCACUGGGUCUCUUCUGACGCUGAGGCACGAAAGCUAGGGUAGCGAAGAGGAUUAGAUACCCUCGUAGUCCUAGCUGUAAACGCUGAGCACUGGAUUGGAGGGUCCUCCAUAGCCUUCCGGUCGUAGCGAAAGUGUCAAGUGCUCCGCCUGGGGGAGUAUGGUCGCAAGGCUUGAUACUCAAAGGAAUUGACGGGGGCUCUACUACAAGCGGUGGAGGAUGUGGCUUAAUUCGAGGCUACGCGAAGAACCUUAUCCUGGAUUUGACUAUGCAUGGAUUUACCCCUGGAUACAGGGGCCACGCCCUCGGGUGGAACUAUGCACAGGUGCUGCAUGGCUGUCGUCAGCUCGUGUCGUGAGAUGUCGGGUUAAGUCCCUUAACGAGCGAAACCCUUGUCGUUAGUUGCUAGCGGGUCUAUGCCGGGGACUCUAACGAGACUGCCGGUGUUAUACCGGAGGAAGGUGGGGAUGAC
Molecule: ribosomal RNA, 1107 nt
Filed under: uncultured organism
Description: bacterial SSU rRNA
Rfam family: Bacterial small subunit ribosomal RNA
Source: RNAcentral